UAAAAAGCAAUGAUGAAGAGGAGUAGACAGUUAAAACUUACAGAGAGGAAGAUCCACCGGUUGAGAGGUCUUCUAAGUAAAUUGCUGUUGAAGGUAGCUUCUGAGCUUUCCGUCUGAAAUGGAGUAGGAUGGAACGGAAUUCCGUUAUUCUAAUAAGAGCCAGGAUAUCUGGAAUAAAGGUGGUACCGCGGUCCCUCGCCCUUUGG
RNAcentral lists this non-coding RNA (206 nucleotides) under Caloramator mitchellensis. RNAcentral describes it as "T-box sequence". It matches the Rfam family "T-box leader". From Rfam's summary of the family: Uncharged tRNA acts as the effector for transcription antitermination of genes in the T-box leader family. Lineage: Bacteria; Bacillati; Bacillota; Clostridia; Eubacteriales; Clostridiaceae. The record is from RNAcentral.